AAAAUGUUAACAUGUCUUUGCAGAUAUAUCAUAAACCUUUUGCAUAUCAAUGUUGUUUUUAAAUAUCACAAAUAAGGAAAAAGGAAGGUUUCAGUGAAUCUUGAAGUGUUAGAUUAUAAUUGGAUGUCUAAAUAUGAACUGAUGAACUAAAAUAACUUGAUGAUUACUUUGCAUAUAUCGAUAGUUGGGGAUGAGGUAAAUGGUUGAAAAAUAGACAUAUAGAAAGAUAGGGUAUAUCCUUAAGUGGUGUGUACUGAACACUCACAUUUUUAAAAUUCUGUCCACAGAGAGGCACUGAUUCCUGUGCUGAAAUUACUUCACAUAUAACAUUGAAGUUUUGACCACUGUAUUGAUGCUAAGAAAUCAAUAUUAAGAGAAUUUAGCCAAAUGAUAAAAGAGUAAGCAGCCGGUUUCUAGCUACUGCAGCCACCAUGUGCAUUCCCUAUCCAGAGGACUCACCCCAGGAACUUUAAGUGAAUCUCCGAUCUUCAAUGCAAGGAAGGCAGAUAGAGCAUCUCAUUCAAAUGGGUGAGAGAAAGGAGCUCAGAAGAGCAGUCAUGGAGGACCAAGAAGCAGUAGCAAACAGGCCCAGUGUGAGGAAAUCCAGGUGGUCAUCUUCAAAGACCUGUCUUCAGUUCCUAUUCUGCCAGCUAGACACCAGCCUCUAAACAUCUUAUCUUCCCAAAAGUGUUCAUUGGCUGUACUGUAAUGGAAUUGCUCAUAAUAUGAACCUCUGAAGCAAUUUCUGGUUUGAAUGAUAAGAAUAUUUUCAUUACAGGACAAAAUAUAGGAAAUACCGAAUUAUUUAAUUUUCCCUUUAUGAUUCUAACAUUUGGAAAAUAAAAGAACUAAAAACAAUGCAAUUUCUAGGAAAUAUUUGUGAAUAGAGUAACUUGUAACAGCACAACAGACAACAAAGAACAUUUAAGAAGAAACGGUAUCCUGUGCCAAUAGGCAUAUGCUCAAAGGA
Mesocricetus auratus (golden hamster) is the source of this 970-nucleotide long non-coding RNA. RefSeq lists it as uncharacterized. Lineage: Eukaryota; Metazoa; Chordata; Mammalia; Rodentia; Cricetidae. The record is from RefSeq and is a predicted model, not a curated record. The transcript has 3 exons.